GUGGGGAAUAUUGGGCAAUGGGGGAAACCCUGACCCAGCGACGCCGCGUGGGUGAAGAAAUCCUUCGGGAUGCAAAGCCCUGUUGUUUGGGAAGAGCGGAAGACGGUACCAUACGAGGAAGCCCCGGCAAACUACAUGCCAGCAGCCGCGGUAAUACGUAGGGGGCAAGCGUUGUCCGGAAUUACUGGGCGUAAAGCGCACGCAGGCUGAAUUAUAAGUCGGUAGUCAAAGGCGGAGGCUCAACCUCUGUAUAUCUAUCGAUACUGUAAAUCUGGAGUAUGUGAGAGGGAAGCGGAAGUCCCGGUGUAGCGGUGAAAUGCGUAGAUAUCGGGAGGAACACCAGUGGCGAAGGCGGCUUCCUGGCACAAUACUGACGCUCAUGUGCGAAAGCUAGGGCAGCGAACGGGAUUAGAAACCCGAGUAGUCC
RNAcentral lists this ribosomal RNA (427 nucleotides) under uncultured bacterium. RNAcentral describes it as "partial 16S ribosomal RNA". It matches the Rfam family "Bacterial small subunit ribosomal RNA", at positions 354 to 796 of the family's 1533-position model. The record is from RNAcentral.